This 1604-nucleotide long non-coding RNA is filed under the name Salmo salar (Atlantic salmon). Its description in RNAcentral is "lncRNA (ENSSSAG00000114745.1)". The record is from RNAcentral. Lineage: Eukaryota; Metazoa; Chordata; Actinopteri; Salmoniformes; Salmonidae.
UCAAAACAAAAAGGGGGCUGUGUCUCUGCAUGGGUGGCUUUUGAAACCAGAAAAAGUGUGUGUGAGUUUGUUUAGGAUUGGGUGCGUCUCUUCAAUUGGGCUAGGCACUUUCAAUUUUAUUACCACACAAGCCUUUCAAAUACGUAUUUAUCUCACCCCCAAGGAUGUGGGGGGGGGGUAAAAAGUCAAAAAGCCCAGGCAUAAGAUAUCUUGACUAGACGACCUCCUAAGGGUUUAAAACAUAUGUUAUUUUCUAAUCAGCGCCCCCCAAAGCUGUGCUUUGAAGCAUAAAUGCAAUAUCGGCAGACCGAAUAUGUCGAGACACCCGCUUGUGGUUUUUGGGUCUCUAGACAUUCGGGAGUACUUUAUAUGACCCUUUUAUGCAUACAGGAUGUCGCCCGAAAAAACGGCACCCCCCCCCCAGCUCUGUAAACUCAUUGCAGAAUAGUGAAACUAGCCAGUCGGUAUGACAGCCUAAAGCGCAACUCAAAAGACUCCCGGCCAACAGACAGAAGAGUUAUCAGGCCAACAGAUAAUCGCGGAAUCGGUCCUAAUGGAGCUUUCUGAAGCGGACAGACCCAAAAGAAGGAUCCUGGGUGCUUCAUGUACUCUGAGCGAUGACAUCGAUGCUAUUCUACCGUUCUGUUCGAACGGUUUUACCCUAACUCCCCUCAGGAACCAAGCUACAUAUUUCCGAACCAAACAUGGCACAACAUGUGCACAAGUGCAUUGUGCAAAAUCCCCCCGGCCCGAAAAGUUACUGCUUCAAGAAACGGCCCUACAUGGACAAGACUCCAAACGAGACAUGCCUUGCAGAAUCUGCAAGGCCUGGUGAAAAAAGUCUAAAGCCCACGGUUUCCGCAAUUCGUCAGAACAGCCCGCGUCAAAAAAGCGGAGACUCCUCCCCGGCAUAUAACGGCACCGAAGACCAUGCACACCGAGAACACGCGGAGGAUUUCGGCGCGCCGGACAUUCACAAUAAAACAAUGAAACUGGAUGAUUUCAACGUUUUAAAUGACAUUCCAGAGGUAGACGACUGGAUAUUCUGUAAUGCAGCCAGUCUUCUUGAUUCCUCCAAUUCUUAUGUAGAAACACCCAAACCUGAAAUAGACCAAGCUGGGUUUAUCAAUGCCUUUUCAAAGACUCUAAAUCCAGAAAUGUCUUGCUACACAAACGAAUGGUUGAUUUACUCGAGCGGCAAUACAGUCAGGAUCUAUCCUUCUGGCGUAGAACAAUGAUGUAACGACUGUCUGAAGAAGUAGACCAAGGCGCAGCGUGUUGAGUGCUCAUAUUUAAUUUUAAUUGAGACAAUUUGAACAAAACAAGAAAAUGACAGCCAAACAGUUCUGUCAGGUAUAACAAAAACAGUAAACAGAAAUUAACUACCCACAAACCCCAAAGGAAAACAGGCUGCCUAAGUAUGACUCCCAAUCAGCGACAACGAUGUACAGCUGUCCCUGAUUGAGAGCCAUACCAGGCCAAAACAAAGAAAUGCAAAGCAUAGAAAAAAGGACAUAGAAUGCCCACCCAAAUCACACCCUGACCAAACCUAAAUAGAGACAUAAAAAAGGCUCUCUCAGGUCAGGGACAGUACCCCCCCCCCC